GAGGGGGAUAACACUUGGAAACAGGUGCUAAUACCGCAUAACCAUAGUUACCGCAUGGUAACUAUGUAAAAGGUGGCUAUACUACCGCUUUUGGAUGGGCCCGCGGCGCAUUAGCUAGUUGGUAGGGUAGAGGCUUACCAAGGCAAUGAUGCGUAGCCGAAUUGAGAGGUUGAUCGGCCACAUUGGGACUGAGACACGGCCCAAACUCCUACGGGAGGCAGCAGUAGGGAAUCUUCCACAAUGGGCGAAAGCCUGAUGGAGCAACGCCGCGUGGGUGAAGAAGGUCUUCGGAUUGUAAAACCCUGUUGUUAGAGAAGAAAGUGCGUGAGAGUAACUGUUCACGUUUCGACGGUAUCUAACCAGAAAGCCACGGCUAACUACGUGCCAGCAGCCGCGGUAAUACGUAGGUGGCAAGCGUUAUCCGGAUUUAUUGGGCGUAAAGGGAACGCAGGCGGUCUUUUAAGUCUGAUGUGAAAGCCUUCGGCUUAACCGGAGUAGUGCAUUGGAAACUGGGAGACUUGAGUGCAGAAGAGGAGAGUGGAACUCCAUGUGUAGCGGUGAAAUGCGUAGAUAUAUGGAAGAACACCAGUGGCGAAAGCGGCUCUCUGGUCUGUAGCUGACGCUGAGGUUCGAAAGCGUGGGUAGCAAACAGGAUUAGAUACCCUGGUAGUCCACGCCGUAAACGAUGAAUGCUAAGUGUUGGAGGGUUUCCGCCCUUCAGUGCUGCAG
This 729-nucleotide ribosomal RNA is filed under the name uncultured bacterium. Its description in RNAcentral is "bacterial SSU rRNA". It matches the Rfam family "Bacterial small subunit ribosomal RNA", at positions 136 to 851 of the family's 1533-position model. The record is from RNAcentral.